RNAcentral lists this ribosomal RNA (253 nucleotides) under uncultured bacterium. RNAcentral's name for it is "partial 16S ribosomal RNA". It matches the Rfam family "Bacterial small subunit ribosomal RNA", at positions 524 to 776 of the family's 1533-position model. The record is from RNAcentral.
UACGUAUGGUGCAAGCGUUAUCCGGAUUUACUGGGCGUAAAGGGAGCGCAGGCGGCGCGCCAAGUCUGAUGUGAAACCCCGGGGCUCAACCCCGGGCAUGCAUUAGAAACUGGCGGGCUGGAGUGCCGGAGAGGUAAGCGGAAUUCCUAGUGUAGCGGUGAAAUGCGUAGAUAUUAGGAGGAACACCAGUGGCGACGGCGGCCUACUGGACGGUGACUGACGCUGAGGCUCGAAAGCGUGGGGAGCAAACAGG